GGAUGUGAGGGCGAUCUGGCUGUGGCAUCUGUCACCCUAUUGAUCGCCAGGGUUGAUUCGGCUGAUCUGGCUGGCUAGGCGGGUGUCCCCUUCCUCCCUCACCGUGUGCGCUAGGUCGAAGAGGAUGACCUUCCCCGAAUAGAGGAGGACCGGUCUUCGGUCAAGGGUAUACAAGUAGCUGCGCUCCCCUGCUAGAACCUCCAAAUAAGCUCAAGGUAUAACAAGUCUUAAUAAUCUGAAUUCACAAUUGCUCAAUUGCUCUUUGAGGUUGCCAUGCUUA
Molecule: small nuclear RNA, 280 nt
Filed under: Meriones unguiculatus (Mongolian gerbil)
Lineage: Eukaryota; Metazoa; Chordata; Mammalia; Rodentia; Muridae
Description: 7SK RNA (ENSMUGG00000001797.1)
Rfam family: 7SK RNA
About the family: 7SK was discovered as an abundant small nuclear RNA in the mid-70s but a possible function has only recently been suggested. Two independent studies have found that 7SK RNA binds the CDK9/cyclin T complex (known as elongation factor P-TEFb).
Source: RNAcentral